GGCCCCGUAGCUCAGCUGGUAGAGCACUCGCGGUGCUAAGGCGAGGGUGGUAACCAGGUAGGUGUUCGAAUCCAGCCGGGGCCA
RNAcentral lists this transfer RNA (84 nucleotides) under Fasciola hepatica (liver fluke). It matches the Rfam family "tRNA". From Rfam's summary of the family: Transfer RNA (tRNA) molecules are approximately 80 nucleotides in length. Their secondary structure includes four short double-helical elements and three loops (D, anti-codon, and T loops). The record is from Rfam by way of RNAcentral. Lineage: Eukaryota; Metazoa; Platyhelminthes; Trematoda; Plagiorchiida; Fasciolidae.